This 24-nucleotide non-coding RNA is filed under the name Arabidopsis thaliana (thale cress). Lineage: Eukaryota; Viridiplantae; Streptophyta; Magnoliopsida; Brassicales; Brassicaceae. The record is from RNAcentral.
GUGAACUAAUGUGUUGAAUAAGCA